GCGGAAGUAAGGGUAGAGGAUCCGAAGAAAAACUAGGAGACGGACUGUAGAUGGGGCGGGGUGGAGUUGCGGGGAGCGCGGAAUGUGGAACGUAGUUGGACGCGCUCACUGUUGCUAAGAAAUGUUUUCUUGUUGACACAAAUGAAGUCACCAUUCUAUAAACAUGAUUAGCAGAAUGCUAUCAAGUGAGAACCUCAAGAAACGUCAUGCAAAGUCAAUGAAAAAAGCAUGGUGUGAGUGUAUGGCAGUGCUGCGUUGAUCCUGAAGGGUCUCACUAUGCAGUUCAGGCUGGUCAUGAGCUCACUUUGUAGCCCAAGCUGGUCUAGAACUUACGGUGAUCCUCCUGCUUCAGCCUCCCAAGUACUGGGAUUACAAGAGUGUGCCAUCACACCCAGCUAGUUUUUAUUUUUUUUUACUUUAUGGAAAAAAGGCUGCCUUGCCCAGGAAGCCACUUGAACCAGUGAACUUCCUAGAUCCUGAGUAUAAAAAGAAAGAAGGAAGAAAAAGGAGAAGAAAUUCGGGAAGAAAUGAUUCAUCCUAGUGAUCCUGUGCUGAUGAACUUGUGCUUUGUUAGAAAAUGUAAGAUCAACUGGAAGCCAAUAAACCAACUGGCACAUGUCACAUUCUGGUUAGUUUGGGAGAUGGAAGCAACAAGCCUGUUCUCAACAUUGUUCAGUUCAUCACUAUAAGAAUAAAGAUCUGAUGGCUAAGUUCCAGGAUAGAUCUCUAAACUGGAAGCAUAAAAAAUGUUUGUAUCUACAAGGGCAUACAUUUUCAUGCUGUAUUUUGGCUCUUUACUUUUCCAUAAGGCUUUUACAUUCAUGUGAUCACCUUGAAAAAUCUGUGCUAAGCACAGCAGACUUAUGAAUACUUUCAGUUCAUCUAGUAAGGUGCCACAAUAAAUACAUUUUUGAAUAUGGCUAUUAGUGCAUACCGAAUGGCCUUUGUGUAUUUCAUAGCCUCUUGUAACGUUUUUUCUGUUACAGUUUUCAGCAUUGAAUGGCAGUGUUGCCGGUCUGUCCAAUACAUUUCAUUUCUGUCAAGACCUUCAUUAUAUUUUCAGACUUAGUUUUGACUUUGGAUUAUUCCUUUUGUUUGUGGAUAUUUUGCAAAAUUCUGACUAGUCAAAUAUAUACUUUUGUUACUGUUUUCUUCAUAAUCUAAAUCAAGGAGGUCUGCCUUCCCUGUGCGUCAGCUGAUUCUUGUUUGUCACUGUCACAGAAACUUUGGCUCACAUAUCCAACGUCAAUGUCAUCAUCAUCAUCAUCAUCCACCCACACCACUCUUCUAUUAUGAAAGCAUGUGUUUUACCAUAAUUAAUCAUCUUCAUUAUCUAUCUGACACAAGUAAUCUGAUAUUUCACUUUUGUCUUCCUCCAAAAUUUGCAAAUAUGGUUUUUAAUAUGCUAUUGUACUGAACUGGGCUACUUGUACCAGAAAAAUGAAAGCAAAACACUUUUAAAAAAAUAAAUUCUGCAAUGGCGCA
Cavia porcellus (domestic guinea pig) is the source of this 1485-nucleotide long non-coding RNA. RefSeq lists it as uncharacterized. The transcript is spliced from 5 exons. The record is from RefSeq and is a predicted model, not a curated record. NCBI's taxonomy places the organism in Eukaryota, Metazoa, Chordata, Mammalia, Rodentia, Caviidae.